UACAGGGGGUGCGAGCGUUGUCCGGAAUCACUGGGCGUAAAGGGCGCGUAGGUGGUUUGAUAAGGGUGUGGUGAAAGUCCGGGGCUCAACCCCGGAUCUGCCGUGCCGACUGUCAAACUCGAGGGCUGUAGAGGCAGACGGAAUUCCGGGUGUAGCGGUGGAAUGCGUAGAGAUCCGGAGGAAGACCGGUGGCGAAGGCGGUCUGCUGGGCAGUUUCUGACACUGAUGCGCGAAAGCGUGGGGAGCAAACAGG
This 253-nucleotide ribosomal RNA is filed under the name uncultured bacterium. Its description in RNAcentral is "partial 16S ribosomal RNA". It matches the Rfam family "Bacterial small subunit ribosomal RNA", at positions 524 to 776 of the family's 1533-position model. The record is from RNAcentral.